UUGGGGUGAGGUAGUAGGUUGUAUAGUUUUAGGGUCAUUCCCAUGCUGUCAGAUGACUAUACAACUUACUGUCUUUCCUGA
Molecule: microRNA precursor, 81 nt
Filed under: Oryzias latipes (Japanese medaka)
Lineage: Eukaryota; Metazoa; Chordata; Actinopteri; Beloniformes; Adrianichthyidae
Also listed under: 3 other names
Description: let-7 microRNA precursor family
Rfam family: let-7 microRNA precursor family
About the family: This family represents the microRNAs (miRNA) let-7 and mir-98. let-7 was identified from a study of developmental timing in C. elegans, and was later shown to be part of a much larger class of non-coding RNAs termed miRNAs. The extents of the hairpin precursors are not generally known and are estimated based on hairpin prediction.
Source: Rfam by way of RNAcentral